Molecule: transfer RNA, 74 nt
Filed under: Flavobacteriales bacterium
Lineage: Bacteria; Pseudomonadati; Bacteroidota; Flavobacteriia; Flavobacteriales
Description: tRNA-Ile
Rfam family: tRNA
About the family: Transfer RNA (tRNA) molecules are approximately 80 nucleotides in length. Their secondary structure includes four short double-helical elements and three loops (D, anti-codon, and T loops).
Source: RNAcentral
GGCCCCGUAGCUCAGUUGGUUAGAGCUUCUGCCUUAUACGCAGGAAGUCGCAGGUUCGAGCCCUGCCGGGGCUA